RNAcentral lists this ribosomal RNA (423 nucleotides) under Triticum aestivum (bread wheat). RNAcentral's name for it is "partial small subunit ribosomal RNA". The record is from RNAcentral. Lineage: Eukaryota; Viridiplantae; Streptophyta; Magnoliopsida; Poales; Poaceae.
AUGGGCCAAAAAAUACACAUAACUGUCCCAUUGGAGGCGUCCAAAAGUGUGCCCUUUUUAAAGGGAGGAAAAUGCAGCAUAUCCGAUCGCUGGAUGCGAAAGGGAGCCGCACCAAAAAAUGUUUGCAGGUCCAAAGAAACUAGUGUCGCCGGCACCAAGGAAAACUCCAAAGUUUGUGUGUGCCGACUCGUAUUUUGCGAUCCUACGAACCUAUCUUUCAGGGAUCGAAAGCGUCGCCAUAGUUUAUUAUUGCUGAUCACAUGGGUGACUCUGUACCUAACAACUGACAAAUCUUUGAUCGGAUCAAAUUCAGGGAAGCAUGGCUGGCGGUUGCAAAGCACAACUUGGAACCUUCGUCCAUGGGCCUUACACGCUAGUGCUCGUUUAAAAAUGGAGUUCAGAGUUCAGACUGACAGGAGAUGA